AAAACUUAUUGAUGAAGAUGACCCGAUAUUUUUGGUGAAGAGCUUCUUUCAGACUCCUUCCCCUACAAGGAACUAUUGAAUGGGUUCCUAUGAGAAGUUGAAGAAAAGUUAUGGAUAAUGAAAACAAUGCUCCUUCGUUAUUAAAGUCGAUUGAGGACUAUGAUCCUAUAUUUUUCGAAUUGUUCGUCGACCAAAAACAGGUGUUUAUUUUGGAUGGUCCGGAGUUUUUGGCUGCAACUAUGUUGGACAGAGAUAUGCUUGCUAUUGCUGUAAAUUGGUACCAUGUCGGUUGGUUUUGCUUGGUAAGAUUUGUGACGAUGCGUCGGACAAACCACAUUGGGAAAAUAUACAGCCU
Long non-coding RNA from Helianthus annuus (common sunflower), 355 nucleotides. RefSeq lists it as uncharacterized. The record is from RefSeq and is a predicted model, not a curated record. Lineage: Eukaryota; Viridiplantae; Streptophyta; Magnoliopsida; Asterales; Asteraceae. The transcript has 5 exons.